Molecule: long non-coding RNA, 441 nt
Organism: Bubalus bubalis (water buffalo)
Lineage: Eukaryota; Metazoa; Chordata; Mammalia; Artiodactyla; Bovidae
Exons: 3
Source: RefSeq, a predicted model, not a curated record
CAGGGCUCCAGGAAGGGGCGUCCCGGCGGCUCCUCGCCCUCUCCCGCGUUCUCUUCUACUUGCCGCCCCUGAGUCUCCUGGAUUUACGGUGACACUGCAGCCAGGGCUUGGGGAACAAGACAUCUAGAGGACGGCAGGCAACUGGGACCGCAGCACGAGCCUGGAGUCUGGGAGUCUGCGAGGUGUCUGGAGAAGAUGCAGCUGCUGCAGCCUGGACCUGUCUGUACCUGCCCCAGGAGGGAGGGCAGGAGGAUUUCCCAGAAUGCCAAGCAGCCAGCUUCAGGCCAGCCCCAGCCAGAGGGAAAGUGGUUCCAAGCUCCAUGUGUCCUGCUAGGCAACUUCAGCAUCUGGAACCCCCCAGCCUGACGUCAGCCUUCACUCACCCAAACACUUCCAGCUGUAGGUCUGGCACACAGAUAUUGUCUUCUCCACAGUCCAGCA